This 1213-nucleotide long non-coding RNA is filed under the name Monodelphis domestica (gray short-tailed opossum). RNAcentral's name for it is "lncRNA (ENSMODG00000034483.2)". The record is from RNAcentral. Lineage: Eukaryota; Metazoa; Chordata; Mammalia; Didelphimorphia; Didelphidae.
GAAAUAAAUAAAUAAAACAAUAACCUCCGCGCCAAUAAGAACGAGGGAGAGAGAAAGCGAAGGACAGAGAGAGACACCGGCUCCAGUUCGCUCGGCUAGGAGAGGUGCUCCUUUGGCGCGCGGCGCGCGCGCGUGUAUGUGUGUGUGUGUGUAUGUGUGUGUGUGUGGGUGUGCGUAUGUAUGCAUGUGUGUGCGUGCGUGUAUGUAUUCGCCCCGACUGAAACUGUAAAGUUCACACCAGACGUGUUGCUCUCUCCGGUUGCCCGGGGCUGCGGCUGAGGUCGUCCCAACUUCACUUGCCCAAGUGACUGUGUGCCUUGCCCAGCGCCUCCCGUGGUGCUGCUGCUGCUGCUGCUGCUGCUGCUGCUGCGGCGGCGGCGGCAGCUGCUGCCCGCCCCUCCGGCCAGCAGUGGCAACGGCGGCGUAGACUGCCGCCUCCUCCUCCCAGCACACCUUGGAGCGCGAGGGAGGCUGGUUUGUAAGGGGGCUUCCCUGCCAACCCCAGCACUAGCAACUGCACCUGCCCACCACAUUCCAGCCACUUCCCCCCGGGCGGUGCCUGGAGCCGGCAGAAAGACAACUAUUGUGAGGACAGAGUGUGGAGAGAGGAAAUAAUAAGUGAACAAUUGCCCUCUGAAUUUUCUCCGGACAUGUAGAAUGUUCCUGCUGAAACACUAAGACAACUUCGAGAAGCAGCUCACUGUAAGUGCUUAUGUAAAAUGAGAAAUAAUUUUUAUUUUAUUCUGAUACUUGAUGAUUUGAGACAGAGUCCACUCCUGUGGCACUUGAAAAUAACAGCAACAGUUAUGGUAGGAGACAGGAGACACUUGAAGAUUUCUGAGUCAUAAAUUACAGGAAGAAAAGAUACUUAAAGGGCUUAUUUGCAAACUGCUGGAUUUUGCCUUCUAUAAAGGAUACCCAAAAGUCUUAGUGUAUUUUAAGCCAUUAAACAUAUUAGCUUCAUUUUGCCAAGGCUUCACAUUGCACUAAAAACUUCUGGGAUACCUCAUCUUACAUUUUCUGAUAAAAAUGCAUAGAUAUGAAAAAUGAUUAUGAUCAAAUUGGGGUGAAUACCAUUGCUUACCACAAUAAUUACUUGCAAAAUGAGUUAUUUUUAUGUAAUACAUGGUAACAUUCUAAUGUACAUCUGAAAAUAAUUUAAGUAGCAUGAAAAUCCCUGUGAGAGGCUUCGUGUACAUAAUCAAAGUUCUCU